This 240-nucleotide long non-coding RNA is filed under the name Nicotiana benthamiana. Its description in RNAcentral is "long non-coding RNA (NBEN_LNC035150)". Lineage: Eukaryota; Viridiplantae; Streptophyta; Magnoliopsida; Solanales; Solanaceae. The record is from RNAcentral.
GCUCAAGAACACAACAACUUAGUCAAGAGUUUGGCUCUAAAAAAGCUAUGAAAUGAAUAUAAAAUGAUUGAUAUGAGAGUAUGUAAGUUUAAGCAAGAAUUUAAUCAGUUGUUGUACUUAAAAGAGUGAUUUUGAGGUGUAUUUAUAGUGCUCAAAGUCACCAAGACCGUUGCUUAAUUGCCAAUCACUAAUUGCUGAUUUUGUGCUUGCAUAAUCGAUUAUAUGAUCUGCAUAAUCGAU